UNCUCAGCAAUACUCCAGAGCCUACUUCCC
Molecule: non-coding RNA, 30 nt
Filed under: Homo sapiens (human)
Lineage: Eukaryota; Metazoa; Chordata; Mammalia; Primates; Hominidae
Source: RNAcentral